RNAcentral lists this ribosomal RNA (499 nucleotides) under uncultured bacterium. RNAcentral describes it as "partial 16S ribosomal RNA". It matches the Rfam family "Bacterial small subunit ribosomal RNA", at positions 28 to 507 of the family's 1533-position model. The record is from RNAcentral.
GACGAACGCUGGCGGCGUGCCUAAUACAUGCAAGUCGAGCGAAGUUUUUCUGGUGCUUGCACUAGAAAAACUUAGCGGCGAACGGGUGAGUAACACGUAAAGAACCUGCCUCAUAGACUGGGACAACUAUUGGAAACGAUAGCUAAUACCGGAUAACAGUAUUUCUCGCAUGCGAGAUAUUUAAAAGUUGGUUAUGCUAACAAUAUGAGAUGGCUUUGCGGUGCAUUAGCUAGUUGGUGGGGUAAAGGCCCACCAAGGCGACGAUGCAUAGCCGACCUGAGAGGGUGAUCGGCCACACUGGGACUGAGACACGGCCCAGACUCCUACGGGAGGCAGCAGUAGGGAAUCUUCCGCAAUGGGCGAAAGCCUGACGGAGCAACGCCGCGUGAGUGAAGAAGGAUUUCGGUUCGUAAAGCUCUGUUGUUAGGGAAGAAUGGAUAUGUAGUAACUAUACAUGUAAGAGACGGUACCUAACCAGAAAGCCACGGCUAACUACGUG